AACGAACGCUGGCGGCAGGCUUAACACAUGCAAGUCGAACGCCGUAGCAAUACGGAGUGGCAGACGGGUGAGUAACACGUGGGAACGUACCCUUUGGUCUGGAAUAACCCAGGGAAACUUGGGCUAAUACUGGAUACGCCCUUAUGGGGAAAGGUUUACUGCCGAAGGAUCGGCCCGCGUCCGAUUAGCUAGUUGGUGUUGGUAAUGGCUCACCAAGGCGACGAUCGGUAGCUGGUCUGAGAGGAUGGCCAGCCACAUUGGGACUGAGACACGGCCCAAACUCCUACGGGAGGCAGCAGUGGGGAAUAUUGGACAAUGGGCGCAAGCCUGAUCCAGCCAUGCCGCGUGAGUGAUGACGGCCUUAGGGUUGUAAAGCUCUUUCGCACGCGACGAUAAUGACGGUAGCGUGAGAAGAAGCCCCGGCUAACUUCGUGCCAGCCGCCGCCGUAACAC
RNAcentral lists this ribosomal RNA (453 nucleotides) under uncultured bacterium. RNAcentral describes it as "bacterial SSU rRNA". It matches the Rfam family "Bacterial small subunit ribosomal RNA", at positions 29 to 526 of the family's 1533-position model. The record is from RNAcentral.